GAUGAAGAACGUAGCGAAAUGCGAUAAGUAGUGUGAAUUGCAGAAUUCAGUGAAUCAUCGAAUCUUUGAACGCACAUUGCGCCCCUUGGUAUCCCGAGGGGCAUGCCUGUUCGAGCGUCAUUUCACCACUCAAGCCUGGCUUGGUGUUGGGCGACGUCCUCUUUGGGGACGCGCCUCGAAACGCUCGGCGGCGUGGCACCGGCUUUAAGCGUAGCAGAAUCUUUCGCUUUGGAAGUCGGGGCCCCGUCUGCCGGAAGACCUGCUCGCAAGGUUGACCUCGGAUCAGGCAGGGAUACCCGCUGAACUUAAGCAUAUCAAUAAGCGGAAGA
Molecule: unclassified non-coding RNA, 329 nt
Filed under: soil metagenome
Description: partial contains 5.8S ribosomal RNA, internal transcribed spacer 2, and large subunit ribosomal RNA
Rfam family: 5.8S ribosomal RNA (bases 1-120)
Source: RNAcentral